CACUCCUGCGGGAGGCAGCAGUGGGGAAUUUUGGACAAUGGGCGAAAGCCUGAUCCAGCCAUGCCGCGUGCAGGAUGAAGGCCUUCGGGUUGUAAACUGCUUUUGUACGGAACGAAACGGCCUUUUCUAAUAAAGAGGGCUAAUGACGGUACCGUAAGAAUAAGCACCGGCUAACUACGUGCCAGCAGCCGCGGUAAUACGUAGGGUGCAAGCGUUAAUCGGAAUUACUGGGCGUAAAGCGUGCGCAGGCGGUUAUGUAAGACAGUUGUGAAAUCCCCGGGCUCAACCUGGGAACUGCAUCUGUGACUGCAUAGCUAGAGUACGGUAGAGGGGGAUGGAAUUCCGCGUGUAGCAGUGAAAUGCGUAGAUAUGCGGAGGAACACCGAUGGCGAAGGCAAUCCCCUGGACCUGUACUGACGCUCAUGCACGAAAGCGUGGGGAGCAAACAGGAUUAGAAACCCGGGUAGUCCC
This 471-nucleotide ribosomal RNA is filed under the name uncultured organism. Its description in RNAcentral is "partial 16S ribosomal RNA". It matches the Rfam family "Bacterial small subunit ribosomal RNA", at positions 334 to 797 of the family's 1533-position model. The record is from RNAcentral.